This 1668-nucleotide long non-coding RNA is filed under the name Canis lupus familiaris (dog). Its description in RNAcentral is "lncRNA (ENSCAFG00030026131.1)". Lineage: Eukaryota; Metazoa; Chordata; Mammalia; Carnivora; Canidae. The record is from RNAcentral.
ACUGGGAAAGGGUCUAGCACAGACCAAAGUCAAAGCAAAGGAACAUCCUGGUGGGGCUCACACAUGACGGGAGGUUGGUCAGACUAGCUGCCUUGUGGGGUUGGGGGGAAGUGUGUGUAACUCAGAACUACAGAUGGUCCCUUGAAACAGACUCGGCCAGGAGAUCAUUGAAGAUCCAUACAGCAGCUGCUGAGACUCAGCGGCACUGUGGUUACCGUGACAAAGCAUUGCCGAUUGGAAAUUAAAAUGCAUGGAAUUGUGUGGGGAGUCUUUUCAAGAAGAAACAGAAUCAACUUAGUGGUAGCACUGAGGCUCUUAGAGCUGAACACCAGAUGCAAGGAUUUUUCAAGGAAACCACAAAGCUCUCUUCUUUCCUGGAGCAGAAGGUUUAGCGUGAUUAGAGUGAAGCUAUUUUAGGAGACAUUGUCAAAGCCUGAGCAAGGAGGUGUCAGAGAGCUGUAUCAAAACUGAUUCAGACCCUGGGACCAGUUGAGACAAGUGGCCCUUUGAUUCUGUCUGGAUCUUUCUGACCCACUGCUGGAGGUGGGCUCUUCAAGUUGUCCUGCUGUCCCAAAGCAAGUAUCUUCAAUGCUCUGGGGCUCAGAACACUUGUGUGUCCAGUUAGUCACCACUUUUUUUCUAACCUGCUGUGCUGGACUAGAUCAGUGAUUCCUCAACUGUGGCAAACAUGAGACCUGACCUCCUGGGGCCCUCAUCUCCUGAAUAGGAGGCUCAGCCAGAUUUCCUUGUCUUUAGCUCAUUUCUUGCAUUAAAAAAAUAUAAAUGGAAAUAUAAUUUGUGUCUAAUGUGCUGUGAAGGCAAAUGUGCUAUUAAUCAGUAUACUUUAUGUAUGUUUAACAUGUGGUUAAAGUGUCAAAUUUCCUCUAUUAAACUAUAUUGAUAGAUGUGUAUAUGUACAUUCUGUCUAAUAUAUGGCCUCUAAAGAUGACGAUAUCCUCAUCCCAAGAAGCUGUGAAUAUGUUUACCUUUUAUAGCAAAAAGUCUUUUGCAGAUAUGAUUAAUUUAAAGAUCUUGAGAUAGGGGGAGUACCUUGAAUUUAUCUGGGUGGGCUCAACAUAAGGAUGAAGUCCUUGUGAGAAGGGUGUAGAAGGAGUCAGAGUUAGAAAAAGGAGAUGUGGUGAUGUAGCCAGAGGUGGGAAUGAUGCACUUUGAAGAUUCAGAAAGACAGCAUGAGUCAGGACUAUAGGUAGCCUCUAGGAGCCAGAAGGGGCAAGGAAACAGGUUUUUCUCUGAAGCCUCCAAGAGGAAUAUAGCCCUGGCACCAUCUUGGUUUUAGACUUCUGACCUCUGUAACUGUUAAAAAUACAUUUUUAUUGUCUUAAGCAUGACUUUGUUGGCAGCAAUAAGAAACUAAGACUACAUAUAUACACACAUACACAUAUACAUACAUAUAUGUGUAUAUAUAUACACGUAUACACACAUAUAUUCUAAGUUAUAAAAUUCAAGGAUUAUAGAAAUACAUAUUUAUAUGUAUUAUUUAAAGUGAAAAUAACAAAAACUUACAUUUAGAGGGCUAGUUAUGACUUAAGACUGUCAUCUCUGGAACCAGGUCUAUCACAUUCUAGCAUUAGGACUUAGGCAAGUCACUGAACUUCUUUGCACCUCAGUUUUCUCAUCUCUAAAAUGGGAAUAUGAUCCUACCUCACA